UAUGUGAUCGUCUCUCGCAUAUCAAUAAGCGGAGGAAAAGAAACUAACAAGGAUUCCCCUAGUAACGGCGAGUGAAGCGGGAAGAGCUCAAAUUUGAAAUCUUAAAGGGUUUCCCUUUACGAAUUGUAGUUUAAAGAAGUGUUUUCUGUUGAGGUUUUGGUAAAAGUUCUUUGGAAUAGGACAUCAUAGAGGGUGAGAAUCCCGUAUUUGACCUUUACUUUCAACUUUGUGAUACACUUUCAAAGAGUCGGAUUGUUUGGGAAUGCAGUCCAAAAUGGGUGGUAAAUUUCAUCUAAAGCUAAAUAUUGGCGAGAGACCGAUAGCGAACAAGUACCCCGCGAGGGAAAGAUGAAAAGAACUUUGAAAAGAGAGUUAAACAGUACGUGAAAUUGUCAAAAGGGAAGCGUUUGACACCAGUGUUGUUUUUCUGAAAAUCAAUUAAAGAACUGUUUAUGCUAAGUUGUUUAGACUUUAUCAGCUAUCUGUUUAGUUUUGAGCUUUUCUUUAAUGCACUUUUCAGUUAACAAGUCAACAUCAAUUUCUUUUGCUGUAAAAAAGCUUGAGGAAGGUGGCUUGAGAUUCGUCUUAAGUGUUUAUAGCCUCUUGCCUAUACAGUCGGAGAGAUUGAGGUCUGCAGCGUAGAUCCUUCGGGGCUAGAUGCAUUUGUGCUAAGUUAUAGCACUUUUAUAGACAACUUGUUGACUAUGAUUUGUCUUGUAGCUUACUCGCUUAUGUUAUUUUACCUACGCUUAGGAUGUUGAUCUGUAGUUGCGUGCGC
RNAcentral lists this ribosomal RNA (778 nucleotides) under uncultured Neocallimastigales. Its description in RNAcentral is "partial large subunit ribosomal RNA". It matches the Rfam family "Eukaryotic large subunit ribosomal RNA", at positions 24 to 647 of the family's 3401-position model. The record is from RNAcentral. Lineage: Eukaryota; Fungi; Neocallimastigomycota; Neocallimastigomycetes; Neocallimastigales.